Molecule: ribosomal RNA, 416 nt
Filed under: Rhinella gildae
Lineage: Eukaryota; Metazoa; Chordata; Amphibia; Anura; Bufonidae
Description: partial 16S ribosomal RNA
Rfam family: Bacterial large subunit ribosomal RNA
Source: RNAcentral
UAAUCACUUGUUCUUUAAAUGCGGACUAGUAUGAAUGGCACUACGAGGGUUAUACUGUCUCCUUUUUCUAAUCAGUGAAACUAAUUUUCCCGUGAAGAAGCGGGGAUAUAACUAUAAGACGAGAAGACCCUAUGGAGCUUUAAACAACCCAGCAAUUACUUCUAAAAUUGUAAAUUUCAGAAUAUUCAUUUCUUAAGUAAUAUGUCUGCAAGUUUUUGGUUGGGGUGACCAUGGAGAAUAACAUAACCUCCAUAUUGAAUGAAUUCCCUUCUAAGCUGAAAAUUACCAAUUGAAGCAUCAACAUACUGACAUCUAUUGACCCAAUAUAUUUGAUCAACGAACCAAGUUACCCUAGGGAUAACAGCGCAAUCCACUUCAAGAGCCCCUAUCGACAAGUGGGUUUACGACCUCGAUGU